UACGUAGGGGGCAAGCGUUGUCCGGAAUCAUUGGGCGUAAAGCGCGUGUAGGCGGUCCGGUAAGUCGGCUGUGAAAGUCCAGGGCUCAACCCUGGGAUGCCGGUCGAUACUGCCGGACUAGAGUUCGGAAGAGGCGAGUGGAAUUCCCGGUGUAGCGGUGAAAUGCGCAGAUAUCGGGAGGAACACCAAUGGCGAAGGCAGCUCGCUGGGACGUUACUGACGCUGAGAAGCGAAAGCAUGGGGAGCGAACAGG
Molecule: ribosomal RNA, 253 nt
Filed under: uncultured bacterium
Lineage: Bacteria
Description: partial 16S ribosomal RNA
Rfam family: Bacterial small subunit ribosomal RNA
Source: RNAcentral